This 395-nucleotide long non-coding RNA is filed under the name Sus scrofa (pig). RNAcentral's name for it is "lncRNA (multiple genes)". Lineage: Eukaryota; Metazoa; Chordata; Mammalia; Artiodactyla; Suidae. The record is from RNAcentral.
UGGGGUUCAUUAACAGCACUGGCAGCGCUGAGCACAUUGUCAUCUUUUGUGGAAAAUACUUGCGGAAUGAAUGAACGCAUUUCUACCGGACUGCAACGUCCAGAAAAGCCGGGGGCGGUGGCUCUCCUACAUUGUAUUCUGUAGCAGGCAGAGGCUUUCUGCACGUGGAGUGUGGCUGUGACUGUGCAGUGGUCAGUGUGUGAGCUGUGGCAUAUGGAAGAGGACAGCGAACUUGGAAUCAGAAGGUGGGAGUCGCAGCUCUGCUUCUUGCCACAUGGAUGGGAUCAUCAUUUAUAAACACACGAGGGAACAAUCUGCCAUGAAGAAGAGUCAGCCAACACAGGAAAGAGGGGAAGUGGAAUAAAAGGGUAGACUUGUUGGUUAAGAACCCUGAA